AGAAACCAGUAGAAACAAUAGAAACCAGGAGAAACAAAAGAAACCAGGAGAAAUGAGUAGAAACCAGGAGAAACAAAAACAGUAGAAACCAGGAGAAACAAUAGAAACCAGUAGACACCAGUGGAAACAGUAGAAACCAGUAGACACCAGUAGAAAACAGUAGAAACCAGGAGAAACCAGUAGAAACAGGAGAAACUAGGAGAAACCAGGAGAAAAUAGAAACCAGGAGAAAUGAGUAGAAACCAGUAGAAACAAUAGAAACCAGUAGAAACAAAAGAAACCAGGAGAAAUGAGUAGAAACCAGGAGAAACAAUAGAAACCAGUAGACAUCAGUAGAAACCAGGAGAAACCAGGAGAAAAUAGAAACCAGGAGAAAUGAGUAGAAACCAGUAGAAACAAUAGAAACCAGGAGAAACAAAAGAAGCCAGUAGAAACAAUAGAAACCAGGAGAAACAAAAGAAACCAGGAGAAAUGAGUAGAAACCAGGAGAAA
Sebastes umbrosus (honeycomb rockfish) is the source of this 492-nucleotide long non-coding RNA. RefSeq lists it as uncharacterized. The transcript is spliced from 2 exons. The record is from RefSeq and is a predicted model, not a curated record. Lineage: Eukaryota; Metazoa; Chordata; Actinopteri; Perciformes; Sebastidae.